Molecule: long non-coding RNA, 542 nt
Filed under: Solanum tuberosum (potato)
Lineage: Eukaryota; Viridiplantae; Streptophyta; Magnoliopsida; Solanales; Solanaceae
Description: long non-coding RNA (STUB_LNC004602)
Source: RNAcentral
GCCAAAUUAGAAAGACUGUACAUGUGCUAUUAAAGCUUUGAUUCCAACUAAUUAAAUGCCAAAGUGCAUACAAAACAAACUAAAGUCUCUGUCUUUCUACAUAACUAUAUAUUAAUCCCUUUGAUAUUGGUCGCCCCUUGAUUCCUGAUUUCCACCACACCUUAGAUAACACGAGCAUAGAGCACCUGACUCUAAGUUGAGGAUGGAUAAAAUUUGUACAUUACAAAACAUGCAUCAUAAUAUGACUUGUGGCUGUAUGUGCAUGCUUUCACAUUGAAUGGUAUGACUCUCCCAUUCUUCUUCUUUCUGAAUUUGUCUGAAAACCUGCAAGUCGACCCUUCACCUCUGUAAACUCGUAAUACCACCACUUCAAUACAAUAAGUUUGGAACUUUCAGUUUUAAGAUCAAAUGCAAGUCCGUUAUGGACAAUAAACCUAUAGAUAACUAACUCCAUUGAUGCAAACCCACAUUUUUCACUAAAGCGGCAACAAAAUUUCCAUAAAUUCUGAAUCUACCUCCGACUAUAAAUUAAACUCCAAUUG